Molecule: ribosomal RNA, 559 nt
Filed under: uncultured bacterium
Lineage: Bacteria
Description: bacterial SSU rRNA
Rfam family: Bacterial small subunit ribosomal RNA
Source: RNAcentral
GGGAAACUGCCUGAUGGAGGGGGAUAACUACUGGAAACGGUAGCUAAUACCGCAUAACGUCGCAAGACCAAAGAGGGGGACCUUCGGGCCUCUUGCCAUCAGAUGUGCCCAGAUGGGAUUAGCUAGUAGGUGGGGUAAUGGCUCACCUAGGCGACGAUCCCUAGCUGGUCUGAGAGGAUGACCAGCCACACUGGAACUGAGACACGGUCCAGACUCCUACGGGAGGCAGCAGUGGGGAAUAUUGCACAAUGGGCGCAAGCCUGAUGCAGCCAUGCCGCGUGUAUGAAGAAGGCCUUCGGGUUGUAAAGUACUUUCAGCGGGGAGGAAGGUGCUGAGGUUAAUAACCUCAGCAAUUGACGUUACCCGCAGAAGAAGCACCGGCUAACUCCGUGCCAGCAGCCGCGGUAAUACGUAGGGUGCGAGCGUUAAUCGGAAUUACUGGGCGUAAAGCGUGCGCAGGCGGUGAUGUAAGACAGUUGUGAAAUCCCCGGGCUCAACCUGGGAACUGCAUCUGUGACUGCAUCGCUGGAGUGCGGCAGAGGGGGAUGGAAUUCCGCGU